AAGGUCAGCUCCACUGGAAGAGCAGUAAAGGAAGAGCCCAAGAGAUCAAUGAGCUAAGCCUGUUCCUGCAAAAGUAGAAAUGAAGCCAAGAAAGGCAGCAGGAAAGGAUAAACCUUUAGACAAAAAAAAAAAAAAAAAAAAAAAAAGCAAACAAAAAGGUAAAGGGAGCAAAGGGAAGUGACUAACCAAGAGACCAAAUAAAAUUUACCUGCAGAAAACAGAGAAACUAAAAAUGAGGAGAGUCCAGCCUCUGAUGAAGUGAAAUGAAAGAAGCCAAGUCUAGUUAAUAUUAUAUAUCAUGGCUUAUCAGUGAUUCUUGUCUCCCUUCUUAUAAAUCCAGAGGAAUAUUUUUAUCAACCAUUUUGUAAAUGCAAGUUUUUUAGUAGUUCUAGAAGCAUUUUUAGGAAAGGGAAAAUCCCACCUCUUCCCAUUUUUUAAGUGUAAUUUUUUAAGAGGUAAAAUCAUUUUCUGUUUUUUAUUAUUAUUAUUAUUUUUUUGGUGUAACCAGAAAAUCGUG
Molecule: long non-coding RNA, 517 nt
Filed under: Homo sapiens (human)
Lineage: Eukaryota; Metazoa; Chordata; Mammalia; Primates; Hominidae
Description: non-protein coding lnc-EPB41L4A-2:1
Source: RNAcentral